CCCAGAAAAAGCCACACCACACGUAUUCUUAUUGCCAAGAGAACGACAUUUCACCUCUCAGCAGCCAUAGACAAGCUCUCGUUUCAUUCGAGGAAGAAAGAACUCGCCUCCUCCUCCUCCUCCACACAGAUUUGGUCACUCUUGAUGCACACAACACGAAACAACAGAACAGAGGUCACUCGCAAAACUGCUAUAUGUACAAACUACAAGAGCAGAGAGCAGAGCACUGUACAAAAAAAAAAAAAAAAAACUACAGGAGCAGAGCACUUGGGACCUGGUCUGUCUGGGACCAAGGAAUUCUGGGAGGAAGUGGGUGCCAAAUUUUGGUUCCGAAACCGGGGCAAGAAGGGUAGCUACUAGCUAGCGAUCCGGCUUGCGAUCACCACCAGCUCCAGCCGCCGCAGGCAGGUAGGAUCUCUUGAUAAACUCCAAGCAAUCGGCAAUGGCCUCUGCAUGGAGGGAGUUCUCCUCCCUCUCUGCUGGCGCAGGUCGGUGGUGGCGCCUGUCGCCGUGGCUGACCGCCAUCUUAUGACUCCUCCUCCUCCUCGUCGUAGUCCUCCUCGUGGGGCAGCAGUUGAGCUCCUCCAGGCACCGGGCAACGAGGCCGGCGAGGCCGCCGAACAGCCGCACACGGAGGCGGAGAAGCGAGCCGAGCCGGACGUGGCGCCCCCGGCGGCGGCCUCGACGGCUCGCCUGGCGAUCCAUCGCCGGCCGGCCUCGACGGCUUGCCUGAAACCUGGAUGGAGCAGGUGCGCUGGGACCUGGGAGCAUGCAAUGUGUGUGCGCGCGCGGGCCUCUUGUUAUAUAUAUAUACACUAACCAGUCAC
RNAcentral lists this unclassified non-coding RNA (827 nucleotides) under Zea mays. Its description in RNAcentral is "misc RNA Zm00001eb206140". The record is from RNAcentral. Lineage: Eukaryota; Viridiplantae; Streptophyta; Magnoliopsida; Poales; Poaceae.